AGGGCUAUAGCUCAGUUGAUAGAGAGUGCUUGCCUUGCAUGCACAAGACCCUGGGUUCAAUCCCCAGCAUCACCA
This 75-nucleotide transfer RNA is filed under the name Ictidomys tridecemlineatus (thirteen-lined ground squirrel). RNAcentral's name for it is "Spermophilus tridecemlineatus (thirteen-lined ground squirrel) tRNA". It matches the Rfam family "tRNA". From Rfam's summary of the family: Transfer RNA (tRNA) molecules are approximately 80 nucleotides in length. Their secondary structure includes four short double-helical elements and three loops (D, anti-codon, and T loops). The record is from Rfam by way of RNAcentral. Lineage: Eukaryota; Metazoa; Chordata; Mammalia; Rodentia; Sciuridae.